CAGAAACUACAAAGGAAGUUGACGGGGCCCGGCACAAGCGGAGGAGCAUGUGGUUUAAUUCGAUGAUACGCGAGGAACCUUACCUGGGCUCGAACGUAAGAUGACUGUAGGUGAAAGCUUACAUCUCUUCGGAGCAUUUUACGAGGUGCUGCAUGGUUGUCGUCAGCUCGUGCCGUGGGGUGUCGGGUUAAGUCCCAUAACGAGCGCAACCCCUACCUUUAGUUGCCAUCAGGUUAAGCUGGGGACUCUAAAGGAACUGCCUACGCAAGUAGUGAGGAAGCGGGGAUGACGUCAAAUCAGCACGGCCCUUACGUCCAGGGCUACACACGUGCUACAAUGGCCGAUACAGAGGGCAGCUACCUGGUGACAGGAUGCAAAUCUCCAAAGUCGGUCUCAGUUCGGAUCGGAGUCUGCAACCCGACUCCGUGAAGUUGGAUUCGCUAGUAAUCGCGCAUCAGCCAUGGCGCGGUGAAUACGUUCCCGGGCCUU
Molecule: ribosomal RNA, 489 nt
Filed under: uncultured Sphingobacteriales bacterium
Lineage: Bacteria; Pseudomonadati; Bacteroidota; Sphingobacteriia; Sphingobacteriales
Description: bacterial SSU rRNA
Rfam family: Bacterial small subunit ribosomal RNA
Source: RNAcentral